AAAAGGUAACAAGAGAAGAUACCCAAGACAGCUUUCCAGCCCCUGGGUUUCACCAUAGGUGAUUUUUCCCACCGUGAGUGACAGACGAAAUCCCCCACGAUUCCACUAACCCAAAUUUGGGGCUGUGGACAGUCCUGACCAGGGAACAAUCGUGCUGUGUCCUGGACCUUUUGGACGGCAUGUGGCCCAAGGGCUCAACUGACAGGAGAAACGGGAGGAUUGCUUUAUACCCCCUUAGGGCCAGGGUCACAUUGCUGAUUAAUAGCAGUAUUAGGCCUAAAGUUCAAUAAUUCUGCUCCUAUUUGAGGGCUCUUUCCAGGGAAACCUCAGUCAUGGUAUCGGACCAAAAAAAAAAAAAAAAAAAAAUCUAUCUCCACAUACAGGUAUGUAAACCCCCACAGCGUUCUUUGAUGGAAUCCAGUAAGUCAUGGAUAAGGUGAGCAAGUGACUUGCACUGACUCAAAUAACCCCAAUUUCCAAACAGGAGAAUCUACCUACGUCUAAAGUCUUCUCUUCCCAUCGUGCGUGUUCCACAGGUGAGGGCAGGUACCGUGGGCAAAGUCAGAGCUGGCCGCACUGUCGUGGCAACUCACCCCUGAUAAAUAACACAACCACCCAAGGAACGUGGAGGUGGCUUAUCUCAUAACACCAGUUCCCUUCUCUACGACGCAGCGAGGCCAGCGGGAAAAGAGCACCUCCACGGAGCCUGAGAGUUCCUGGAGAGUGUUCUGGAAAGCUGAAUUGAGACGCUGCCCCGUGGCACCGGUAAGGAGGAGGAGGGACGUCACUGGCCCCUGGACGCUUCCUCCAUCACAGGGUCUGAGUCACAGGUCUGGUGCCAGAAGUUUAUGGUUUGUCCUCAAGAGCACAGCUUCGAACAUCUUCCCUGCAUUCCAAGGGGUGGCAUCACUCUGGGCCCUUCUCCCCUUCCCAGGCUCACACACACCCCAGAUCACUCCUGAUCUCAGCACCAUUCCACCCUGGGCACUGUGUGCAGAGCCUCUUCUGCGUGGGACGGGACGGCCGCCCCACGCGUCUGGAUACAGGCACGCCAAGCAGAAGGGCCGCUCCCCCGCCUCCUGGCCACCUUCAGCUCACCUGUCUGGGCACCAGUGACAUUCCAGGAGCCUCUGCGGGGGCGGGAGGCGGGGGGGAGGGGACCCUCAGGCCCGAGGAGGUACAGGUUCUUCUUCCAAAACCCGACACUCACCUGGUGCCCUGACGCUAAGUCUCAAGGCAUCGGCUCAUCUUAACGUCAACAGUAUUGGAGACAAAAGCACCGCUGGAAAAAGAGAGGGGGUAUAACCUCGGAAGUGACCAGGCUCGCACAUGGAAAUGUGGCCGCUCGGGUCCUUCUUCAGGCGUUUUUCAAGGAAGCCAAGUCCUCUUCCGAAUUUAGUUCCCAUACUGCUAUUUUCAUCUCCUCUUUUACUACGUGUGACUUUCUAGCUGAUCCCCUUUGUCCGACACACCAACUUGGUGGCCUCACGGCCAAGGGGGCGAGAGGCCCGGCGUCAGGCUGGUGAAGAAGAAUGGACGCCUCCUCCAAGACACAGAACCGACGGCGGUGGCAAGGCUGACAGGGGGUGACGGGCAUCAAAGGUGCCAACGUUGAGCCGUAAAUAAACACGUCCCGGGAAUACAACAUAAUACGCGGCUGCAGUAACACUCCCGGGGUGUGUGUGAACGUUGCUAAGAGUAAAUUUUAAAAGUUCUCAUCACGAGAGACUAAAUACGAGUAACUGUGUGGGGACGGACGUUAACGAACCUUAUCGGGGUGAUGACGUUUCACAGCUGACGCACCUGACGCGCAUCAAACCAUUAUGCUGCAACCCUUACGCUACGACGACGAUCUGUCAUUUACAUCUCAAACUGCCCAAGUGAAAUUAAAAUUAAAAAGAACAGCUGGAGCUCUCUGGCAGCCUAGCAGUUAAGGAUCCAGGAGUAUCACUGCCGUGGUGCAGGUUCGAUCCCUGUUUGCAAGAGACGCAGCCAAAAAAAAAAAAAAAGAACAGCUAGAGGAGAACUGCCUCUGGGGGCCCUGACCCUGUCCCUACAUCCCUCAAGCCAGCAAACAUCUUUUCUCACACCGGGCAUCAGGAAAAAGAAAAAGCCUUGCUCUCACAACCUCUGUACCAAAGAUAGAUUUAAGGAGAACCGUUUCAAUUAAACAUUGCUCAACCAAAAAAAAGGGGGAGUUUUUCACAACAGACUUAGUUCCAUAACUUACUGGCAGCCCCAAGAGGGGCCACUGUCUGACUUGAGGAUAGCAAAUUCUAGACGACACAGCAGCCAGCCGGCUGUUGAAGGAAAACUCGAGGUGGCUCACUGUGGCCCACGGCAGGGCACAGAGACGCUGCCACUCCCUCCACUGCACUGUCCUGGGGCUGUCCUGCCAGCAAAAGAUCCACCCCGACGCUCCCCCGACCCCCCCCCCGUAAAACCAGGUAGGAGCAGGAGGAGGAGGGAGGCCGCCAGCCUCUCGACGACACGGCCCCCUUUCUCUAGCAAGGUCCAAGCUUUCUUUUGGCCACAGCAACCGAGCAUCAACACGCUAACCAACCGAGCAUCGACACGCUAACCAUCAGCCCCCGAAGACUGGAAACAGAACUUAUAGCAAGAUAUAGAAAAGGCUGGUCCACGGGAACGUGACAAAUGACCCUGAACCACACGGUACAUUGCGCAGCGCAAAGGACACCGUCAGCAACUGCCCCGGCGUCAUUACCGCGCGCCCCUCGGGUGCAGAGCAGAAAGGAAAGCUUUGCUGUCGCUUGCGAUCUUGCUGGGGAGGAAAAAGAAAAUAUUACGUGUAAGAGAACGAGCUGGCAAAAGGCCACCCAGAGGAAAACAUACACAUCUAUCAAGCUCAUAAUGGAAAUCGCCUAAUAAAAAACAGAUUUUUCAACACCAAAUAAACGGUCUGUUUAUUAGGCUGUGCCAUAGCAGAGAAUUAAUAAAACUCAGAGGGAAUCCAGGACAAAGCCAACGAAAACAAGGCACGGCGAUCCUGGGGACCUUGCCGAGACCCUGGGCUCACCGCACCCGGCCCCGCCAUCUGUGACAUGGUUAGUGACUGCGUCUUCCUCGGCAGGGCUGUACGUCCCCACACGGAAAGGGCUGCCAUGUGCCCGUCCCAGUGGGCACGGUCCUGCAGGACGUGGUACCCAGACUCCCAUUUGCACGGGUCACCUGUCCGAGCCAGGGCUCUGCAUCUGCGGCACAGGCGGACCCAGCCCAGGUACUCACUCCCUGAGAGGGCACCGCGUGCCCUGAAGGAUGUUAAACUACAUCCCUGGCCUCUACCCACUGGACGCCAGCAGCACCCUCUCCUCUCGUUACCAGACAGCCAAGAAGGUCCCAGAAGCAGCCAAAUACACCUGGGGCGGCGUGAGUGCCCACCCCCAGCUCCCCAAGUGAGAACCCCUGUUCUGAGACGGAGCCAAGGAAGCUACACGUUUCCCAAGCAUCCACGACAGGGCUGUCUUCCUGGAUACAACUGGCUGCCCCAGUCCCCUUUGCCGGCAUUGCCCCCUGUCCCACACACCAGUGCAGCUGAAGGGAUGACAAUCCCACUUCCUCCCUCUGCCUGGGACACACGGGCACAGCUGCCCCCUUUGCUGGAGACGCCACAGCGUCUCUCAACUGCAACGGCCCUCUGCACGCCAUGGAUGCUGGAUUUGGUCACGACACCUGCUUUGGUCAGAGUGUUAUUCCCAGGC
Molecule: long non-coding RNA, 3719 nt
Filed under: Sus scrofa (pig)
Lineage: Eukaryota; Metazoa; Chordata; Mammalia; Artiodactyla; Suidae
Description: lncRNA (ENSSSCG00000052831.1)
Source: RNAcentral